RNAcentral lists this long non-coding RNA (490 nucleotides) under Capsella rubella. RNAcentral's name for it is "long non-coding RNA (CRUB_LNC002141)". Lineage: Eukaryota; Viridiplantae; Streptophyta; Magnoliopsida; Brassicales; Brassicaceae. The record is from RNAcentral.
GGCUUUGUUUAAUAGGCCUUUUAUUAAAAAGGGCCAAAUAUAUAAAACACAUGAAAAAAAUAGAGUCCAUAUAUUUUGGUAUUAGGGUUACGUGAUACAACCUCUUUCACUUCCCCUCUCACCUCGCCGUUCUUUUUUUUUUUUUCUUUUUCUUUAACCCCAAUUUCUUCUCAUUUCCAUGGCGAUACAAGUAACGAUUCGAGAUGAAAAACAGUUGAUGAGACUCCACCAGCCAAUUCCACCUUUUGUCAUCCGUUACGCCGUUUUACGAACCCAUCUUUUAGUAGUGUCAAUUUCGUUCACCUAUAGUAUUUUUUUGAUCUAGACAGACGGAAAUUUUGAAGAAGAGCAGGAAGAACUGUAGUACUUGAUUUCGCUUAGAGAAUUAAAAAAGAUGAAAAACAAUUUUUUUUUAUCAAAAGAAGCCCGAUCCGGAUAACCGACGGAAAUCCAAAUUUUGUAACGGAUCUUCGACAACCGGAUAUCCGGA